GAGCACAGUGGGCAGGAGAAGCCAGCAAGUACCCCAGAGAGGCCGUGACACAGGCUUGUUUAGGGGAGCAUCGUGUGAGUGUGUGCUGGCAUAUGGCUGUGUCUGUCACUGUACCUGUGUCGGUAAAUGGGUGUCCCCAGGCAUAGAUCAGACUAUGUGUAUGCUCACAGCUGUGGGUGUCACUUAGCAUACAUGUGUGUGGUCAGCAUUUGUGGGCAUGUCAUGGUUGUAGCUGAAUCUGUUUGGUAAAUGGGUGUCCCCAGGCAUAGAUCAGACUAUGUGUAUGCUCACAGCUGUGGGUGUCACUUAGCAUACAUGUGUGUGGUCAGCAUUUGUGGGCAUGUCAUGGUUGUAGCUGAAUCUGUUUGUGUGUGUGUAUGUGUCUGUGUGUGUGUGUGUGUGAGGUUGUUGGCAUGUCUGGGUUUGUGUGCACCCCAUUGUGCGUAUGUGCUGUUUGUGUGUGUGUAUGUCUGUACAUGCGCACCACUGUGUGUGUGCUGGUGUGUCUGUGGGCAUGCACCAUCGUGCAUGUGUGCUGGUGUGUCUAUGUGCACCAUUGUGCGUGUGUACUGGAGUGUCUGUGUGCGUGCACCAUCGUGCAUGUGUGCUGGUGUGUCUAUGUGCACCAUUGUGUGUGCGUGCUGCUGUGUCUGUGGGCACGCACCAUUGUGUAUGUGUGCUAGUGUGUCUGCACACACCAUUGUGUGUGCAUGCCACUAUGUCUGUGGGCACGCACCAUUGUGCAUGUGUGCUGGUGUGUCCGAAUGCAUGCAUCAUCGUGCCUUUGUGCUGGUGUGUCUAUGUGCACUAUUGUGCAUGUGUGCUGGUGUGUCUGUGUGUGCACACCAUUGUGCAUGUGUGGUGGUGUGUCUGUGGGCACGCACCAUUGUGUGUGUGUGCUGGUGUGUCUACACGCACCAUUGUGUGUGUGCUGGUGUGUCUGUGUGCACACACCAUUGUGCAUGUGUGCUGCUGUGUCUGUGGGCAUGCACCAUUGUGUGUGUGUGCUGGUGUGUCUGCGGGCAUGCACCAUUGCACAUGUGUGCUGCUGUGUCUGUGGGCAUGCACCAUUGUGUGUGUGUGCUGGUGUGUCUGCAGGCACUCACCAUUGUGCGUGUGUGCUGCUGUGUCUAUGGGUGUGCACCAUUGUGCAUGUGUGCUGCUGUGUCUGCAUGCACCAUUGUGUGUGCUUGCUGCUGUGUCUGUGGGCACGCACCAUUGUGCGUGUGUGCUGGUGCCACUGUCUGUGUGUGCAUGUCACUGUGCCCAUGUGUUGCUAUCUGCACGUCCCCUGGCGCUGCCACCUCCAACAGCUGCAGGGCCAGCCGGGAACAGCCCCCAUGCCCCCUCCCUGCUGUCUUUUAUCAUCAUUUGCCACGAA
RNAcentral lists this long non-coding RNA (1381 nucleotides) under Bos mutus (wild yak). RNAcentral's name for it is "lncRNA (ENSBMUG00000006142.1)". The record is from RNAcentral. Lineage: Eukaryota; Metazoa; Chordata; Mammalia; Artiodactyla; Bovidae.